RNAcentral lists this transfer RNA (66 nucleotides) under Abrus expansivus. Its description in RNAcentral is "tRNA-Met". The record is from RNAcentral. Lineage: Eukaryota; Metazoa; Arthropoda; Insecta; Hemiptera; Cicadellidae.
AGAAAGAUAAGCUAAAAAAGCUAUUAGGUUCAUACCCUAAACAUAGAAAUGAUAUUCUUCUUUCUA